UCCUACGGGGGGCAGCAGUGAGGAAUAUUGGUCAAUGGUCGGGAGACUGAACCAGCCAAGCCGCGUGAGGGAUGAAGGUACAGAGUAUCGUAAACCUCUUUUGUCAGGGAACAAAGGCGGGGACGUGUCCCCGGAUGAGUGUACCUGAAGAAAAAGCAUCGGCUAACUCCGUGCCAGCAGCCGCGGUAAUACGGAGGAUGCGAGCGUUAUCCGGAUUUAUUGGGUUUAAAGGGUGCGCAGGCGGUCUGUUAAGUCAGCGGUCAAAGCCCGGGGCUCAACCCCGGCCCGCCGUUGAAACUGUCAGU
RNAcentral lists this ribosomal RNA (305 nucleotides) under uncultured bacterium. RNAcentral describes it as "bacterial SSU rRNA". It matches the Rfam family "Bacterial small subunit ribosomal RNA", at positions 337 to 640 of the family's 1533-position model. The record is from RNAcentral.